GCGUGUGAUUAUUGGAGAGAGAGGGAGAGAGAAAGCAAAGCAAAAGGGAGUGAGAGGUAGAGAGGAACCCACCUCAGUAUUGCUUUCUAGUAAAUAAAAGGAACAAACCAAAUUAAAAAUAAACAAAGAACAUGUAGCUGAUGAAGGAAAAGAUGUGGACUGGAAGAGAAAGGUCGGCAACAAACAACUACUGAAGAAGAAACAUACAUAUAUAUAAGAAAUAUAGAAAGACAACAGAAGAAAAGGCUCGUUUCGUUACUUCAUCCUAAUACAUAUCUGUUUUUUUGUUAUCUUAUAUUACUACAAGACUGCAGUAGUUUCAGCUUGGCUUGGGGAUUUCAUUUGAUUUCCUUUCAAUUCUUUUUCCUCCUUCCUAUUAUAUGUUUUAGUUAACCCAGAAGGGAACUGAGUCAAAGUGACAGUAGCAGUAGCCGCAGCUAAGCUAACAGAAAACUCGCAAUCUCUCUCAGUAUAGCUAGCAGAUUAAUGGCAGAAGGCAAAGGAGAGCCAAAAAAAAAAGAAGAAAUAAACAAUUCUGCUUGCUGUGCUGUUCACUAAUUGGAAAGCCACCCAACAAAGAAGAUCUCUUUCUCUUUCUCUUUCUUUUUAUCUUCUUCUGUUACAAUUUCAGAGAUUCGACCCCACCCUUUCCCCCUUCUCUCUAACUCAUAUAACACCUAAAUAGAGAGAUAUCUUCUUUCUCCACUUCUCUCCAUCUUUUCUUUUUUGGUUUUUCCCUUGUUUUCCUUUUUCAUAUUGAAACUUGACUUUUACUCUUGAUUAUGUGUAUGUUUUAUGUUUGUAAAGAUUGAGUUUUCAGCAAUUGAAGGAGACGUCUUUAUCUAUAUAAUUUCGUUAUUAUCGUUGUCAUUGUGGCUACCACAAGAAGGCAGCUACCUUCAGACUCAGGAGCCUUUGCAGAUUGGGCGACGUCAUCGUCCGCAGCAAUCCGAGCUGGCCCCGAUGACCUGUCCCUUGGCUUCAACGCAAACGCGGCUGCCGCGGUGGCUGCUCCACCUGGAUCCACCAGCGCUCAAUGGCCACCCUCAGCUCGUCCACUCAACUACGGGCUUCCCUCUGAAAUGGGGAUGGUUGGUCUCCGCGAUUUCGUUGUUGUUGCUCCUGCGUCUUUUAACCAUCAUCACCAUCACCAUCACCACCAUGCUCAAGAUCCCAUCAUCGGAAAUGAUCAAAUCAACGGUCAAAAUGCUGCCACGGCACUUGGUGUUGGCGUUGGUGUUUUCCCACUCCUUACAGCAUCUCCAUGCUUAGCUCCUCAAAAUAUGGAAGAUUCUGAUUUAGUGAAUAACAGUGGUCGUAACAAACUCAGUGGGAUGCAGUUAUGGCAGAACCAAACCUCUCCUAAUUAUCUUAAAAAACAAUCUUCAACCCUUGACAAUAACAAUUCUUCCAUGAAUUUGAUACAAACCAGUGGUGGCGGUGGGAUGGGAGGUGGGAGUGGUGGCUCAGGUACUAGCUCAGGGACUACAUGUCAAGAUUGUGGGAACCAGGCCAAGAAAGAUUGUAGUCAUAGGAGAUGUAGAACAUGCUGUAAAAGUCGGGGAUUUGAUUGCCCUACUCACGUGAGGAGCACGUGGGUGCCUGCUGCUAGGAGAAGAGAGCGCCAGCUGAUGACGGCCGCCCCUACUACUGCCUGUGCUGGCUCGUCAGGGUCUACUUCUGGGGCUAAGAAGCCGAGACUUGUGACUUCACAGACUACAACCACUCUUCAUACAUCAACUUCAAACACUACUCCAAGAAGCUUAGACACUAGCUCAAGUCACCAAGAUGCAGGCUUUAAAGAGACAUUGCCGGGGCAAGUACGUGCACCGGCGGUAUUCAAGUGUGUAAGAGUGACAGCAGUAGAGGAUGGUGAAGAUGAGUAUGCAUAUCAAGCAGUUGUUAAGAUUGGUGGACAUGUGUUCAAAGGGUUCCUUUAUGACCAAGGAGUUGAAGAAAGAGAUGGGUUUCCAAAUAUAUCUGAAUUGCAUCUUGGCGGCGGCAGUGGGACAAAUGGGGGUUCAUCAUCCUCACCUGUUCUUGAUCCUUCUCAGGUUUAUGCCGCCACUGGAGGUGGCUUGCUUGGUGGUUCAACUUAUGAGUUGUGUUUGACAAAAGUGAAAUCUACAGUACAAAGUGCUUUCCAUCAUCAAAAGACAGUGCCAUGAAUAUCCACACACUACUUAAUUUGCUGGUGCAAUGCUUGAGUGGUAAAUUUCUUUAAUCCUACUAGUUUAGUUUUAUGAUUAGUAAUGAAACAGAAGCAAAUGUGGAAUUCAUGAUUAGUCGGAUGUCGGUCCAAUUCAUCGCUAUAGCAUUUUUGCAAUGUGGACAAGCCUGCAGUUGCAUGCAUUCAUGAAUGUUUGAUGUACUUGCUUCUUUUGUUAUCCUAGUAUUAGAAAUGUUCCUUACCCAAAUUUAGACCUCAAUGUAAUCUAUGUGUGUCGUACUUUUAAUACGUUUUGCAAUUAACUGGACAUUUACUCAAUAUUCUAUCAGCAUAUGUCGGUUUUGUUCUUGGUCUUAAAAGUGUAUAACUUGCAACGGAUUUGUCUGUUUGGCUUCAAGCCAUACUUUUUCUUUUUUUCCCUAGAGUUGUGCAAGAUUUUGUAACCUAUCUCUUUGGCUUGUGUAUAAUUGUUGACUGAUACGGAUUAAAAUAAGAUAAACCCUGUAUUUAAUUGUUUGUUUGGCUCUUACUUUCGGCCCGUUGGCAUGUUGUCCCCUUUUAGAUAUAUUAUUGUAAUAAGUGGAUUUCAUCAUGUGGAUUACCAUUAUCCUUAUUUCCUUCUAUAUUACUUGUAUUUUGUUUUAUGCUAAUCUAAAAUGCCGCCUCUUAAAACCAUGUGUGCACCGAAAAAGACAGUCGCAUUGUUGUUUGAAGCACUUCAUUUUAUCAGACAACUAAACAUCUACCACACAUGACUGUAUCCACUUCUCUAUUUUUAUUUCUGUGUCUGUCGGGAACUUGCAUUGACAUGGUUGAUCCUUGCUACAUUGUCCGUACAUAUGAUUCAAGCUGAAGUAUCCAGAAAUAUGCAAAUUUCCUUUUACAUUUACAAUGAAGGGAAAGAAAUUCCAGAUUUCUUAUUCAUUACGAAUUGAACAUAUCUAACGACUUAAGUUGUUUAUUGUCAGAUGAUGAAGAUUCCUUUAGAUAUGAAAGAUUUUGCAAGUUAGAUGAUUUAUGCAGUCGGUGCUUUGAGAAUUUAGAAGAUUUAGUGCUUCCCACCUCUGUCAACCUUUAAAUGCAUCGAAGAGAAGCACUUGUGUUUGAUACUUGUUCGGAAAGGAGUAUAUAGAGAAAUGAAGAAGUUAGUAAAAAGAAAUAAAAAUAUAUAUACAUUGGUAUUCAACUAUUAUGUCUGUCUUUGGUUUUACAUGUUUUGUCCUUUAUGUUGGCAUGUAGGGAUAGUUAUCUACAUCUGACAUAAUUAUGAUUGAGUGCAAUUCUUAAUGACUUGUUUUAUAUAAA
This is an RNA transcript of Gossypium raimondii (Peruvian cotton), 3475 nucleotides long. It is a transcript of the gene named protein LATERAL ROOT PRIMORDIUM 1, with no coding region annotated. The transcript is spliced from 4 exons. The record is from RefSeq and is a predicted model, not a curated record. Lineage: Eukaryota; Viridiplantae; Streptophyta; Magnoliopsida; Malvales; Malvaceae.